GAUGAACGCUGGCGGCGUGCCUAAUACAUGCAAGUCGAGCGAACAGACGAGGAGCUUGCUCCUCUGACGUUAGCGGCGGACGGGUGAGUAACACGUGGAUAACCUACCUAUAAGACUGGGAUAACUUCGGGAAACCGGAGCUAAUACCGGAUAAUAUAUUGAACCGCAUGGUUCAAUAGUGAAAGACGGUUUUGCUGUCACUAAUAGAUGGAUCCGCGCCGCAUUGGCUAGUUGGUAAGGUAACGGCUUACCAAGGCAACGAUGCGUAGCCGACCUGAGAGGGUGAUCGGCCACACUGGAACUGAGACACGGUCCAGACUCCUACGGGAGGCAGCAGUAGGGAAUCUUCCGCAAUGGGCGAAAGCCUGACGGAGCAACGCCGCGUGAGUGAUGAAGGUCUUCGGAUCGUAAAACUCUGUUAUUAGGGAAGAACAAAUGUGUAAGUAACUAUGCACGUCUUGACGGUACCUAAUCAGAAAGCCACGGCUAACUACGUG
Molecule: ribosomal RNA, 497 nt
Filed under: uncultured bacterium
Lineage: Bacteria
Description: partial 16S ribosomal RNA
Rfam family: Bacterial small subunit ribosomal RNA
Source: RNAcentral